CACACCCGUUCCCAUCCCGAACACGACGGUUAAGACCCAAUCGGCCGAUGGUACUGCACUGGAGACGGUGUGGGAGAGCAGGUGGGCGCCAGAU
RNAcentral lists this ribosomal RNA (94 nucleotides) under Blautia sp. CAG:37_48_57. The record is from RNAcentral. Lineage: Bacteria; Bacillati; Bacillota; Clostridia; Lachnospirales; Lachnospiraceae.